Molecule: ribosomal RNA, 906 nt
Filed under: Giardia duodenalis
Lineage: Eukaryota; Fornicata; Diplomonadida; Hexamitidae
Description: Giardia intestinalis partial small subunit ribosomal RNA
Source: RNAcentral
CAUGCGCACAAUGCGGCACAGGAUACUUCCUCCACAGUGGUGGGUGCUAUUCCACAGCUGAGAAUAAGCCAGGUCGUGCCCUUUGCACAACCGCAGGAGAUGGGGUCUGCACCCAGGGUGCCGAUGGGUACUUCGCUGUUCCGGGGGCGGCCAAGACGGACCAGUCUGUCGCGGCGUGCGGCGACACAACCGGGAUCACUGUUAGUGGAAACAAGAAGUACAUUGGUGUGGACGGCUGUGCCAAAUGUACUAAACCAGAAUUGUUAUCAGAAACUGGCAUUAAAGCCGCAACGUGCAUAGAGUGCACUACUCCUAAGAUAGUCAAGACAGCUGCUGAUGUAACCUCCUGUGUCACAGAGGAGGAGUGCACAGGAGCUGAGGGCUUCUUCAUAGACAACAUCGGUGGAAAGAAGUGCAGUGCCUGUGAUGGUACGUGCAAGACGUGCAGCGGUGCAGCAGUACAGUGCACCUCGUGAAAUCCAGACAAGCCAUACCUGAAGAAGACACAGUCAACUGACCAGACGGGCACGUGUACUAAUGAGCAAGAGUGCACAAACGGCAACACAUACUACGCAGACGACGCGGUGGAUCCCACGAGCGGCAAGCUGUGCAGAAAGUGCGCAGAGGGUGGCCUAAAGGACUGUGCUACAUGUGUGAAAUCUGCCGAUGACCUAGUGUGCAAGGAGUGCCCUGCUGAUUCAUCACCUGAUACGGACAGCGUUUGUGUGCAGCAGUGAUCCAGACUCUUUCUCCAGCGCAACAGUGGGUACCUUCGUUGCGGCUAUCCUCAUCGUCGACGGGUCCUCUGCCACAAGAAGAAGUAGGCUUCGCAGGGCAGUAAACAAUCGCCUAGUAUCAUGCAGUCUCCUGUACUUCAGCAUACGGUCCUCGAGGAAGGCUCUCUUC